CGCUAUUCGUUCGAUCUGAUCUACGCGCGGCCCGACCAGACCCCGAAGAUGUGGGAAGACGAAUUGAAGCUCGCGGUGUCGGAAGCCGCCGAGCAUCUGUCGCUGUAUCAGCUCACCAUCGAGCCGGAGACGCCGUUCUUCGGCCUGCAUGCCGCCGGCAAGCUCAAGAUUCCCGAUGAAGCAGUUGCGCGCGCGCUUUACGACGUGACGCAGGAUGUUUGCGCCAAACU
RNAcentral lists this unclassified non-coding RNA (230 nucleotides) under Hevea brasiliensis (rubber tree). Lineage: Eukaryota; Viridiplantae; Streptophyta; Magnoliopsida; Malpighiales; Euphorbiaceae. The record is from RNAcentral.